ACCCUCCUAAAGGAAGCAUUGGAGGCAGUCUAAGUUGGUUCCUCACGGUGUAAUGGCUCGGACGCCAUAUUAAUAUUUGUGGCCAUCCUGAUCAAUGGCUUCUCAAUACCAUUGCAUCCUGGAAACACCUCAUACAUUU
RNAcentral lists this small nucleolar RNA (139 nucleotides) under Helianthus annuus (common sunflower). The record is from RNAcentral. Lineage: Eukaryota; Viridiplantae; Streptophyta; Magnoliopsida; Asterales; Asteraceae.